This 116-nucleotide ribosomal RNA is filed under the name Gammaproteobacteria bacterium. Lineage: Bacteria; Pseudomonadati; Pseudomonadota; Gammaproteobacteria. The record is from RNAcentral.
GCUGGCGACCAUAGCGAGCGGGAACCACCUGAAUUCAUCCCGAACCCAGAAGUGAAAACGUUUUGCGUCGAUGAUAGUGCGGGGCCUCCUCGUGUGAAAGUAGGAUACCGACAGGC